GCCUACGACCAUCUCACCCUGAAUGCGCCCGAUCUCGUCUGAUCUCGGAAGUUAAGCUAAGAAUCGAUAGCCUGGUCUAGUACUUGGAUGGGAGACUGCCUGGGAAUACCAGGUGUUGUAGGCU
Molecule: ribosomal RNA, 124 nt
Filed under: Petromyzon marinus (sea lamprey)
Lineage: Eukaryota; Metazoa; Chordata; Hyperoartia; Petromyzontiformes; Petromyzontidae
Source: RNAcentral